This is a non-coding RNA of Phrynosoma platyrhinos (Desert horned lizard), 68 nucleotides long. The record is from the annotation of a GenBank genome assembly. NCBI's taxonomy places the organism in Eukaryota, Metazoa, Chordata, Lepidosauria, Squamata, Phrynosomatidae.
GUGUGGUGUAGUGGUUUGAGUAUUGGACUGCUACUCUGGAGACUAGGGUUCAAUUCCCUACUUGAACA